RNAcentral lists this ribosomal RNA (52 nucleotides) under Vibrio vulnificus. Lineage: Bacteria; Pseudomonadati; Pseudomonadota; Gammaproteobacteria; Vibrionales; Vibrionaceae. The record is from RNAcentral.
GAGAGUAGUACUAGGAUGGGUGACCUCCUGGGAAGUCCCCGUGUUGCAUCCC